GACGAGGGAUCCAAGCGUUGUUCGGAAUUAUUGGGCGUAAAGCGGGUGUAGGUGGCUAUGUAAGUCAGGUGUGAAAGCCCAGGGCUCAACCCCUGGAAGUGCAUUUUGAUACUGCGUAGCUUGAGUGUGGGAGAGGAUAAGUAGAAUUCCUGGUGUAGUGGUGAAAUACGUAGAUAUCAGGAGGAACACCAAUGGCGAAGGCAGCUCGCUGGGACGGUACUGACGCUGAGACGCGAAAGCGUGGGGAGCAAACAGG
RNAcentral lists this ribosomal RNA (256 nucleotides) under uncultured bacterium. RNAcentral's name for it is "partial 16S ribosomal RNA". It matches the Rfam family "Bacterial small subunit ribosomal RNA", at positions 524 to 776 of the family's 1533-position model. The record is from RNAcentral.